GCCUACGGGGCGCAGCAGUGGGGAAUAUUGCACAAUGGGGGAAACCCUGAUGCAGCGACGCCGCGUGAGUGAAGAAGUAAUUCGUUAUGUAAAGCUCUAUCAGCAGGGAAGAAAAUGACGGUACCUGAGUAAGAAGCCCCGGCUAACUACGUGCCAGCAGCCGCGGUAAUACGUAGGGGGCAAGCGUUAUCCGGAUUUACUGGGUGUAAAGGGAGCGUAGGCGGCAGUGCAAGUCAGAAGUGAAAGCCCGGGGCUCAACUCCGGGACUGCUUUUGAAACUGUACAGCUUGAUUGCAGGAGAGGCA
This 305-nucleotide ribosomal RNA is filed under the name uncultured bacterium. RNAcentral describes it as "bacterial SSU rRNA". It matches the Rfam family "Bacterial small subunit ribosomal RNA", at positions 337 to 659 of the family's 1533-position model. The record is from RNAcentral.